GAUGAACGCUGGCGGCGUGCCUAAUACAUGCAAGUCGAGCGAACAGACGAGGAGCUUGCUCCUCUGACGUUAGCGGCGGACGGGUGAGUAACACGUGGAUAACCUACCUAUAAGACUGGGAUAACUUCGGGAAACCGGAGCUAAUACCGGAUAAUAUAUUGAACCGCAUGGUUCAAUAGUGAAAGACGGUUUUGCUGUCACUUAUAGAUGGAUCCGCGCCGCAUUAGCUAGUUGGUAAGGUAACGGCUUACCAAGGCGACGAUGCGUAGCCGACCUGAGAGGGUGAACGGCCACACUGGAACUGAGACACGGUCCAGACCCCUACGGGAGGCAGCAGUAGGGAAUCUUCCGCAAUGGGCGAAAGCCUGACGGAGCAACGCCGCGUGAGUGAUGAAGGUCUUCGGAUCGUAAAACUCUGUUAUUAGGGAAGAACAAAUGUGUAAGUAACUAUGCACGUCUUGACGGUACCUAAUCAGAAAGCCACGGCUAACUACGUG
This 497-nucleotide ribosomal RNA is filed under the name uncultured bacterium. Its description in RNAcentral is "partial 16S ribosomal RNA". It matches the Rfam family "Bacterial small subunit ribosomal RNA", at positions 28 to 507 of the family's 1533-position model. The record is from RNAcentral.